UUUCUGCUUUUUAGCAGCAGAUAAUUCGUAGAACCGAGCGGUUGGAAGUUCGAGCCGAGCGCAGCGAGACAACGUUGCUUUAGCAACGGCCCGUAGGGCGAGGCGUAAGCCGAGUCAUCUUCCUGGGUGCACCA
This 134-nucleotide small RNA is filed under the name Yersinia enterocolitica. RNAcentral's name for it is "RtT sRNA". It matches the Rfam family "RtT RNA". Rfam says of the family: This family represents a bacterial cis-regulatory element known as RtT RNA. The exact function of RtT is unknown although it is thought that it may be involved in changing the cellular response in relation to amino acid starvation. RNAcentral also lists the same sequence under 2 other names. The record is from RNAcentral. Lineage: Bacteria; Pseudomonadati; Pseudomonadota; Gammaproteobacteria; Enterobacterales; Yersiniaceae.